GACGAACGCUGGCGGCGUGCCUAAUACAUGCAAGUUGAGCGAUGAAGAUUGGUGCCUGCCCCAAUUUGAAGAGCAGCGAACGGGUGAGUAACGCGUGGGGAAUCUGCCUUUGAGCGGGGGACAACAUUUGGAAACGAAUGCUAAUACCGCAUAAUAACUUUAAACAUAAGUUUUAAGUUUGAAAGAUGCAAUUGCAUCACUCAAAGAUGAUCCCGCGUUGUAUUAGCUAGUUGGUGAGGUAAAGGCUCACCAAGGCGAUGAUACAUAGCCGACCUGAGAGGGUGAUCGGCCACAGUGGGACUGAGACACGGCCCAAACUCCUACGGGAGGCAGCAGUAGGGAAUCUUCGGCAAUGGACGAAAGUCUGACCGAGCAACGCCGCGUGAGUGAAGAAGGGUUUCGGAUCGUAAAACUCUGUUGGUAGAGAAGAACGUUGGUGAGAGUGGAAAGCUCAUCAAGUGACGGUAACUACCCAGAAAGGGACGGCUAACUACGUG
RNAcentral lists this ribosomal RNA (497 nucleotides) under uncultured bacterium. RNAcentral's name for it is "partial 16S ribosomal RNA". It matches the Rfam family "Bacterial small subunit ribosomal RNA", at positions 28 to 507 of the family's 1533-position model. The record is from RNAcentral.